GGACCCGUAGCUCAGUGGUAGAGCAGCACUCUUAUAAGGUGUGGGUCGGAGGUUCGAGUCCUCCCGGGUCCACCA
This 75-nucleotide transfer RNA is filed under the name Candidatus Cloacimonadota bacterium. RNAcentral's name for it is "tRNA-Ile". It matches the Rfam family "tRNA". From Rfam's summary of the family: Transfer RNA (tRNA) molecules are approximately 80 nucleotides in length. Their secondary structure includes four short double-helical elements and three loops (D, anti-codon, and T loops). The record is from RNAcentral. Lineage: Bacteria; Pseudomonadati; Candidatus Cloacimonadota.